Molecule: microRNA precursor, 172 nt
Filed under: Marmota monax (woodchuck)
Lineage: Eukaryota; Metazoa; Chordata; Mammalia; Rodentia; Sciuridae
Source: RNAcentral
GCCACAACCCCAGCCCUCUCCUUUUUCUUUUGUGUUAACAUCUAUUUGUUAUGCAAAUUAACAUCUAUCACUGUGACAUUACUAUGCAUGUAUACAUCUUCAUUGAUCAUGUUAAUUUGCAUAACAAAUAGAUGUUAACACAAAAGAAAAAGGAGAGGGCUGGGGUUGUGGC